GGAUGCAGACGGAAAGUGCUAAAAACGACUCUUAAUCAGCGGGUCCUAGGUUCGAGCCCUAGUGCGUCCACCA
This 73-nucleotide transfer RNA is filed under the name Altererythrobacter sp. B11. RNAcentral describes it as "tRNA-Arg". Lineage: Bacteria; Pseudomonadati; Pseudomonadota; Alphaproteobacteria; Sphingomonadales; Erythrobacteraceae. The record is from RNAcentral.